Molecule: long non-coding RNA, 342 nt
Organism: Xenia sp. Carnegie-2017
Lineage: Eukaryota; Metazoa; Cnidaria; Anthozoa; Malacalcyonacea; Xeniidae
Exons: 3
Source: RefSeq, a predicted model, not a curated record
GAUAUUCUCCUUAUCAUGAUAACAUUCCUAUUUCUUACGUGCUUGCAACUUGCCAUGGCGUUUUAUACAUUAUAUGGCUUUACAGAAGAUAGUGGGAUAGUGAAAUAUCUUAAAUAAUAGCGGGUUUUAUUCAAACAUCAUAUCAAAGAUAAAGAUGACUAAGGUGACUAGGAAGAGUCCUUUCAGUUUAUGGUGGGCAAUAAAAGUGAGGAUUCCUUGUUGUAGGAUGAUUUUCAGAGUCAAUACAUAAUAUGUGACCAAAGUCUUCCUCCCUGACCACCAUUUUGCAAGGAAAGCAUUGAUGUGGAUGCUGCAUAAAGAACAUGUUCAUGAUCUUCCUGU